AUUGAACGCUGGCGGCAGGCCUAACACAUGCAAGUCGAGCGGAUGAAGGGAGCUUGCUCCUGGAUUCAGCGGCGGACGGGUGAGUAAUGCCUAGGAAUCUGCCUGGUAGUGGGGGAUAACGUCCGGAAACGGGCGCUAAUACCGCAUACGUCCUGAGGGAGCAAGUGGGGGAUCUUCGGACCUCACGCUAUCAGAUGAGCCUAGGUCGGAUUAGCUAGUUGGUGGGGUAAAGGCCUACCAAGGCGACGAUCCGUAACUGGUCUGAGAGGAUGAUCAGUCACACUGGAGCUGAGACACGGUCCAGACUCCUACGGGAGGCAGCAGUGGGGAAUAUUGGACAAUGGGCGAAAGCCUGAUCCAGCCAUGCCGCGUGUGUGAAGAAGGUCUUCGGAUUGUAAAGCACUUUAAGUUGGGAGGAAGGGCAGUAAGUUAAUACCUUGCUGUUUUGACGUUACCAGCAGAAUAAGCACCGGCUAACUUCGUG
RNAcentral lists this ribosomal RNA (484 nucleotides) under uncultured bacterium. RNAcentral's name for it is "partial 16S ribosomal RNA". It matches the Rfam family "Bacterial small subunit ribosomal RNA", at positions 30 to 507 of the family's 1533-position model. The record is from RNAcentral.